CACAGUCUCCUUUGUUGUUGUUAAUUGU
This 28-nucleotide non-coding RNA is filed under the name Cricetulus griseus (Chinese hamster). Lineage: Eukaryota; Metazoa; Chordata; Mammalia; Rodentia; Cricetidae. The record is from RNAcentral.